AUUAAAUUAAAAUUUAGAGAAGAAGAAUUAAUGUUAAGAAGACAGAUUAGUGCUUAGUACUGGGCAACUUGUUCUUGUUCCUGUGCACAAUGGUUUGUGCUCUUACUCUUGUUUGAUUAAAAUUAGUAGCCUCUCUUUUCAAGUUAACCACUUGCCAUAACCGUGGCACCGAUUCUAGUCAGUAAGUCAAGAAAGAAUAGUCAAGGUAUAGGCCAAUAGUCUGGGACAUUUCUAACUCUUAUUAAAAGCUAACUAAGCAGAAACAGCUCAAAGCAAAACGUGAACUGAAAGUAAAAAUGCUUGCUUAUGCAUAAGCCAAGAUACAUUCUUCUUAUCUAAUUGUAGCUACAUAAUAUUUUGUUUCUUUGAAUAAUGAUUCCUGUUUUGUAACCACAAAAUACUGUGAGC
RNAcentral lists this long non-coding RNA (408 nucleotides) under Marmota monax (woodchuck). The record is from RNAcentral. Lineage: Eukaryota; Metazoa; Chordata; Mammalia; Rodentia; Sciuridae.